CUGCAGCCUGGCCUCCUGCGCCCGGAUCCUGCCGCUGACACUUCCCAUCACACAUCCUUGGACAAGGGUGUGGCCGUGUUAUGCUCUUUGUCUCGUGUGUCACAUGGGAGUCAUAUUGGGGUCCGAUGUGUAUGGCUCCCAGGGCUGGGAGUGAUCAGGCUCUCCUAGGGACUAGGCUCAUCAUUGACCAUGUGCCACCCCAAACACUUGUGUGCUGUGAGCUGACUGCUGGCAGCUAUGGUGGUGUUAUGCAAACGUCUCCUUGGAUUUGGGAGUCGAGUUGAUGUUGAGACAGACAUUCUCUGUCAGUUAUGUGAGUGGGUGUCGGAGCUUAGAGUUUGUGCUGGACUUACAAGGAGACUAGUGAAGUUUGUGGUGCCCACCCGUGGCAUCAUUUCUGUAGCAGCUUCUAGAACAGGAGACCCCAGCCACCAACACCCUUGGAAGACGCUGAUGUCAGGUUGCCAUGCUGAGUGGGGAGUCCUUUCGAUAGUAUCUCACCUCCCUGGUGAUUAGCACAGCCAUCAGGAGUAGUGCAUGCCUGGUGCAUGCAUGUGUUGGGUGCAGCUAGAUGUGAGGAGUGGUGCUCACUCCCAAGAGGCCUAUGGAUACUGGUAUUCCAGCUGUGCUACUAUUUCAUACUUGAGGAGAAAUUAUCCUUGGUGUGUUUGCUCUUUUGGAUGAAUCAUACAAGGAUAAUUUCUUUUUGAGUAUCAAAUGCUGCCCUGGUGGACUUCCUGGAUGACAAGAUGGUUGUUUAAAGAGUUGCAUGGUACAUGAUGCAUGGAUUAGCCUUACCUGGGCAUGAGGCAAGAGAGCACAGAACCGAUGUGUGAGAGGUGCACUCUGAUUCCACCUCAGGAUCUUGCUGGAAGAGUCCUGGGGGUUCCAAAUGGCUUGGUCAUGGUUAGAUAGCACAGUUUUCAAGGCUUAGCAAAUCAUUCUUUUUCAGAUGGGAAGCUAGUCUCAGAGAUAGUCACUGGGGUCAGACCCCUGCCUCUUGCUCGAGAGUGUGACUAGCUCUACAAGCAUGUGCUUGACUCUCAUGGAGUGACACUGGCCUGCUGACCAUUCGCUCUGGAUCUUGAGGGAUCUAAAGGAGCCCCUGACUUCGGAGGAGAUACUGAUGUUUUCUCCAUGCUGUGGUUCUCUGACAUUUAAAGAAUGGUUGUCUGUAGUGUGUUCUCCAUAUUUAUGGUGAUUAAUGUGGGACACCCACUGUUUGUUCCAUAUCUGAAUUUGCUUCAGAAGGUUCUAGAGCACAGUGGUGACUAAAGCUAAUGGACGUUGGUACCUGCUGCAGGAGAGGGAGAAUUUAUUGAGGCUUCUCCUUAACCAAUGCAGUGACCUUGGAACGCACCCCAGCUCCUCAUGUACUCUCACACUGACAGCUUUGGUGGCUUGGUUCUUUGUGCUUGGUCUAGAGGACACUGGGAAUGAUUCACCUGUUGUUUCUGUUAAGUCUUAGUUCAGAGGAAGUCCUUGGGAAGGUACUGGGUCAAGCAUCUCUUUAGGUAGACAGAACUUGGCCAGGGUCUUCUAGGUCCAGCACCCACUCACCUCAGCAUCCAUUCUGAGCACAGACUUCCUGUGGUUCAUACAGAUGCCGCCGCUGCUUUAAGUCAUUCUCUAUCUGUUCCUAUAGCUUAUUCGUGGUAGGCACAAUAUGGCUUCUUUUGGGCUGACCUUUUCUUAGACAUACCUAGUCAAUAGCAUACCAUUUCAGCUCGUUCCAUAACCUGGUGUGUGUGUGUGUGUGUGUGUGUGUGUGUGUGUGUGUGUGUCUGUACACGUGCAUGCAUGCUUGUACAAAUUGUUGGUUAGAGUAGGGGCUCUACAACUUCUCAGUGCUGCUAAGAUAUUCGUCACCUAGGGAUCUUGUUAAAAAGCAGAUUCUGAUUAAGGGACCAAGAUUCUGCAUUUUUAGCAAGCUCUCAAGUGAUGCUAAUGCUGCCGUUCUGUGGACAACACAUGUAGCCUCUGGGGGCUGGAGGUGAUGUUGCAUGUUACCUGUAGUGUGUGUGCUCCAUCUCCUCCAUCCAUCCUACAUCAUCCAUCACAAGUGAGCACUGAGCCAAUAUGCUACCUUUCAAUGAUCCAACGGUGGUCAGUUGUGAAAGGCCACCUUCUGUACAAACACUGUGUGAUUAUUCUUUUAAAUCAAAUUGUGCCUCCAUGGGCUUCCCAGAUAUUAAAGCUACUUCAAGGAGGGGCUGUCUUUGUCAGCCCCCCGUGGGACUUGUCAACAGCAGGUUAUUGAUGACUGAGGCCGUCUGACUCUGUAACCCUCCAUUUCCAGUCAAUUCUAAGGAGCAGUUCCUGGAACCACAGCUUCUGGGGCAGGAGGAGUCCCAUCUGUUGUAUCUACCAGCAACACUCCAUGUUAUCGAAAGAGGUAAUGACCAUGGUGCCAUGGCCCUUUUAUGAUAUUCCACCAGCUGCUGGCUUCUUGUCAUCCAGCUUACCUCUCAGGGAGGACCAGAAUAGAUUUCCAUUUUUUUUCUAAAUUGACCUACCUUAGGAAGCUUCCUGAACCUGGCUUUUGUGGGUAUGGGUUUUUCUGUCCUAACAGAUUUUAGCCCUAGGACCAGUGUGUAGCAGUGACUGGUUAAUGUCAGCUCAUGUGCUUUCUUACAGACUAUGGCAACUCACCUCUUAGAAUCUAGGGGUUCAGUUUGUCAUGAGAAGAAUCUUUCGGAAGCACAGAUGACACUAGACAAGAGGCCCUGGAUUUCCUGUCAGAGCUCUCUGAGGAUAUUUGAGGUCAUUCAUGUUCUGUUUGCUUGUUGUGAAUGAGACAGAGUUAGCUUCCUUGUGAAUAUCAAACUCUGCUUUUUUUUUUGAAGGGCUCCCUGUACAAGAGAUGUGAGUCUGUGUGCCUUGUGUGAGCCUCAGAUGAGCCCUGCAGCUCCUUCAGGAUGCUCCUUGUAUAUUGAUGAUGGAGAAGAUCCAUAGGGAGCUUGUCCUGCUCGCAGUGAACUUGCUGUGCUUUUCCAAAUACCCUUCAUUUCUUCUACCAGUUUUCAAUGCCAGGAUGCGCUUGAAGGGUGAGCUGAUGCCACGACUGUAGCCCUUCCCAGCCAGAUGAUGUAGGCCAAACCCUUUCUGGAUGGCUAGUCAGUGGGAGAAGCCAUGAGAUGCUUGAAAAGUAGUCACAUCUUCCCUGGGGACAGUCUGGUUUUCAGGGUUACAUCCAUUCAAAGGCAUCCCAGUAAUUAGGCUUGUGAAAGACAAGCCAACUUGACCCCGUUCCUUUGUUCUCAUUGAGGUCCUGUCCUUGGCAUCCACCUCCUCCUAUGGUAGACACCAGCAAGGUGCAGACACUAUCCCAUGGGCCUUCCUGUCCUGCUGUUUGGCUCUGGAAGAGACAUGAUUCCUUUCUUUUAUGUGCUGGUGGAGAUCACACGCAAAAGGUAAGGAGAGCCCAGCUUUUUUAGAUUCUGGAAGAGGGAGGUUGGCCUAGAUCCCUGCUAUAAGGAAAGAUGCUGUUCUCUGGGCUUCUCGCCUUCAGGGGUGAUGGCGGUGGUGGACAGGAAGCCCAGCUCCUGCCCCCUGGAUAAUUCUUCCCUUUGUGAUGACCAGUCCUGGAUGGAAUCAGUUCUAGAUGGAUGCCUGCUCCAUAUAAGAGCCCUAUCAGGAUUGGCCUGAGAGAGAAGUGCUAUCAGCUACUAAAAGUGAAUACUAAAUGGCCUGUUUAUGUAAGAGAUUCUCAGAAGGAAGCCCAAAACCCAGGAAGAAAUGAUGGACCAGAAACCACAGGCCAUGCUACUGAAGGUCACAGUCUUCUUUGCCCCAGACUCUUAGCACCCAGGUUACCCCAGUGGGGCCCCCAGAAUUGAGUGCAUGAUAAUCCCCUGCCUCAGACUUCGGGAAUGGGCUACACUGAGCUUUGAGUUUGUUCUUUUUUUUCUUUUUUGAAUCUUUUUAUUUUGUUUUUGUAUGUGUACUUGAAUAUAUGUAUGUGUAACAUAUGCAUGCAAGAGCCUGCAGAAGUCAGAGGAGGACAUUCAUUCCUCUGGAACUAGACUCACAGAUGGUUGUGAGGCAACCUUGUGGGUUCUGGAAACUGAACCCAGUUCUUCCAAAGGUGUAUUUUUCUCCUGAACCAUCUAUUCAGCUGCCCCUACCCCAAAUCCGUGAUUAGCUUUCUUGACACUGAGUCCUAUAAGGGAAUAUUGAUCUUAUUGAGGAAGGACUUCUGACCCCAGCCAGCUCAGUUGUUCACUUGGGUAGAGGGAAGAGCAAGGAGUGUGAGCAAUUCUCCUAAUACUUGGUCCUCAAUCCAUUCGUAGGAAGAUUUGCUGCAUGGUGGAUGGCCCCGAGAAGGCGGGGCUCAUGGAUGGUCACACUUGCUGCUUGCAGAGCAAGUAAUCCCUAUGUUCUUAGCUUUAUUUGUGCCGCUCAUACAAUGAAUGACAAACAAAUUCUCAAUGCUGCUGUAGAGGGCUUUCUGGACUGCAUGGCACCUUCCGUGAGGAGAACUUGGCUUCAGUAGCUAGUCCAGGUAUGUACAAUGACAGUCACACACUUGCAUUAUGGUGUACAGCAGUCCCUGUGCCUCCUGACGAGAGUCUACCACUGAGCAAAGCUUUGCGAUAUUCUGGAGGGUGCUGGUACCAGCACCAAACCAUCUCUGGAGGGACAGAAUCACAUGGCAAAUAAUGCAUUUCCUGCUUUUGGUGAACCCUUGAUGAUUUGCGUGAGUCUGUUGAGACAGGCCAGUAUAAGGGUGUUCUGGUGUUUCCCUGGUAGAAACUUAUCCGUGGGCACUUAAUUGGUCACUCUAACUACUUUUGUUCUAGAGAAAAUUCCUGACAUAUCUUGCUGAAAAAGGCUGUUGGGCUGUCUUGCUUCAUAGUAAGAAGUUUGCUGGGAAAUACCUGAGUCUUGUUUCUGAUGUCUAGCACUUGGCAUGCUCAUCUGCAGGAGACUUGUUAUCCUGACUGUUGCUGGGGAAGGGGUAAUGCCUUCCCAUGACCCUCUUUGGGUAUUUUGAUUUUUUUAAAAAAAAUAAAGUUAAAUUCUCAUUAAUAUCCCAAUUUCAUGCUCCACAAAUUGGUCAACAACAGUGACAAGAGAAUCCAUGUGGCUGUUGUUCAGAUGGUAGAGAGCUGAUAAAGAUAUCACCAGGAUGCGAGAUCUUUCCAACGUGGAAGUGUGGAGACUGUGGAGUGUCUCAAAGUAGCACUAGCAGGUGUACCUAGGGGUUGGGUGAGCCAAUGUCAGAUUGGAGCAAGUGGGAAGAGGAGGGGCCAAAGUUGUGAUGUUGCGGAACCAUGGUUCUCAAGUGACUCAGUGGGCUGCAGAGAGCACCCUGGCUGGGAGGUCUGAAAGGCAGAUAAUAAAGUGAGAAAGUUAUAGGGCCAAUGUUGGGGAUCUUGAUGACACAUCAACAAAUGGGUUGUUACACUGGGAAACAAAAUAGAGGUGGGGCACUACCCACUGCUAGCCAGAACUGUAGGAAAUAAGAUGAUCAAUUUCCAUGUCCUUAGGAGAGAGCCAGGUUUCCAUCAGGGUGAAAGGUAGGGCCAUGGAAAAGAAGUAAAGCCUCGAGAGACUUUGCUAGUGAAAUAUGUCUUGUGGAACCACAGGGGCAAGUGGGACACAGAAGGGUGGCAGACAGGUUAUUACUAGAGCUUUGGGAAGCUACCCUAAGGAAUAGUGAGCUUCCCAGUGGCUAGCCACUAGAAUCUGGAAAUGGUACCUGGUCCUUCUCAUUCAAGGUUGCUUCUAGGAGUUAGGUAAGCCAUUUGUGAUGGUCUCCUUCUUGAAAGUGAUUUCUUGGAGAUGAGAGACAGUGGGAGUGGAAGAUCUCCUGGAAUCAUCAAGAGCUCAGGGAACCUUCUCUUGAUCCAUAUGAGGAAGCUAGUAGCCUUGGUUUGGCUUUUCUGCAAUGAGACAUUUAUAGUCCCCCCCAGGACCUUGAUGUGGCUGGUGUCUAACUAUAUGUGCACCACCGAGAAGUCCAAGUCCCCAUUCACGUACCCCAGGGUUUAUAUACCUGCAGAGGACUCCUGACCUACAGCAAGUGGGCUCCCCUUGUCAUCUUGAAAACCUUCCAGUGGGGACUCUAGAACUAAGGAAGACAGAGAAUGGGGACAAUGUCAGCAUCAUUGCAAGGGAGGUGAGUGGCCACCCCUGCCCCCACUCCAGCGUGUCUCUAGAGCACUUGUCCCCCACCUCACUAACACUCAGCAUCCAAUCUGCCUGCAGGUUGGUGGUUGGAAACCAUAGCCCUUGGAGAAAUGGAAGGGGUCCUUUGUCUGUCUUGUCUCUGCUUUUCUGUGGUACUUGAAGAGAAGUUGUUCGUGGUGGAUUCGCUUUACUUGUGACGAAUCAUUCACGGACAACACUUUUUUCAGUACCAAAUGCUACCUCUAAGGAUUUCCUGGACAUGAUGGCAACUUGCAGAAAGAUGGCGGUUCAGUCAAGCUGGUAGAGAAGCCAAGUAUGGAUGUUUGGCCACGGACAGUAUGCUUGAGCUAGCUGUAAGUCACCUGGUCGGGUUACCUGAGCAUCUGAUCCAUCUGUAGGCCUCUCAUCAGCGGGCCACCACUGUGGCUUUGUGCCCCCCAGUAUCAGCCUACAAGACUGAAAAAAGGUCAUCUUCCAGAAGAGAUGUUGGUGCCAGCACCAUUCAGGGUGUGUGACUGGUUGACCAGAGGGGCGUGCACUCUGUUCACCCUGUGGGCCACCUAGUCACCAACCCUCAGCAUCAAUUCCACCCAAAGAAGACUUCCCAGAGAUCCUGCCAAGUUUGGGGAUAUGUCAAUGGACUUGAUGGCUGUGCCUGUUCAGUGGACCAGGAUGAACUGUGGUCUUAGGGGUGUAUGUUUACAUAAGAUGCCAUGAGGCAUCCGUGGUUGCCGCUGCAUCACUAUCCCAGCCUACUUGAAAUGUUGACUUCAGAUGUGGACAUGAUGUUGACUUCCCAUGAGGGACCUGAAGUCCCUUCUCUCCUGGGUGUGUGAUAAAUUGUACUUUAUUAAGCAUGUGCCCUACUUAUCUGAUGGAUCUGUCUCCUGAUUGUCUAACCUCAAUAUCCUGUCUCUACAGGAGAGUCUGUGAGAUGAUAUCCACCUUGAGAAGUAGUCAUGGUUGUCCUGACAUCACCACACUACCACAGGAGCUUCCAGAAUAUGUUCUCUUCAUGGAAACUGUGGAAUGAAGCCUCCUCUGGACCAGAGGACUAACCAGAUUCAAUGGCAUCGGCAUCUCCCUUCAGGUAAGUGUGCCUCGGGUGAGCAUGCACUUAAUGUAGGUGUAUGUCACUCGGCUCGGCCCACUACCCAAUGCUGUCCCACCCCUUCUUCACAGGACAGUGGAAGCAGUCACCUUUUUGAGAGGGUCGAUGUGUUCUUCGCCAGUGUUCUUCACCAGUGAUCAUGUGUGAUACUUGGAGAGAGGCUGGCCGUGAUGAAUUCGAUUCAUCUAAACGAGUCAUACACGGCUCUCCUCUCUUCUAGUGUCAAACUCUGCCUCAGAGGUCUUCUUGAACCAGUACUGUUCCUAAGGUGGGUUUCUGGAUGGCUGAACCUGUGACCAGUACCUUCAUCCAAUUGCAUAUUUCACACAUUAACCCCAGUGUCCAAGCUAACCCUCAUGUGACUUCCUAGGACAUUUCUGAGUUGUGGAAAGACCAGAGACAUUGUUGGGAGAUUCUGUUUAAAUGUUUAAAUACACUGGCUAGCUUCUGUUUUUAUUAGUACCUAAUUCUACCAUGAAAGAACAACUAGAAGCAGCCUUGGUUAGUUAACCUUCAGGAUACAGAAUAGAGUGGGAACUGGGACAUUGUGAGCCUAUGUUGAGUUAACUGUAGCCAUUUCAUACCCUGAAGUGAAUGAAGUCUUUGGAAGUGAGCUCAGCUUUACCCAGCAUCCCUAGGACAACCUGCUUUGAAAACUUGUGGUAUGGCUCUGCCACUUUUGACUUAGUAAACAUUGCAUGACAAAUGAAAACUCACCUUCCUCUUGGCCCUUUUUUGAGGUCUAGAAACCAGAGGUUGGCCAGAGAGCAUGGGUCUGAUUGGGACUUAAGCCACUUGGUCCACGUAUUCUCAGGGUCCUAUCCACUCUCAGAGGCUCCUCCCAAGGUGCCCCACUGUGAAGAAGAACAGGAGUGCUGUGAGAAGUGCUACUCUCUGGCACUUGGAGGGUGGUUGUCCAUAGUGAGUUUGCAUUAUUUAAUGAUGCCCAACACAGGGUGGACCUCUUUUCUGUAUCACAUCUCACCAGGUGUUUCCUUGGAUCUGAUACCAAUCGUGAGGAGUUGUACCAAUCGUGUUGGGGUUUGUACCAUCAUCCUUGACCAUGUGGUUCCCUCCAGUGUUCUCUGACUCCAUCCACCCCUUCAAGGAGGGCACUGCCAGCACUGAGGAAGAUGCCCAUGUUACACACUUAAGUGGAUGUGGUGCUGCUCAUGGUACCUCUGGCUUUUUUAUCUACUUGUAAAAAAAAGUAGCAAAUUUUGCACCCCCUUCUCUCCACUUAUAGAGUCUUAUAGUCCCUCUACUUAUAGUAGUCUUAUAAAGAGGAAUGGGGCACAAGAGUCAGCAUUUUUAGGGGUAGGGAUAUAAGUGAGUGGGUGAUUUUUCCAUGUCUGUUGGCUGAGAUGUCAGAAGAAAUUUGAGGACAGUAGAACUAUUUCCCGUUUCUUCAUUUUCUUUGUAAAAAGAGGAUUUAUUCUACUUAUUAUUAUUUUAUUAAAAAGAUGUAUGCUCAUGAUAAAAAUAAAAGCAAUAUGAAACAAUUAAAUUAAAGAAAUUAGAAAAGUUUCUACCCACACAUAAAUAACUUCAGGAAUUCCAAACUCCUUUCUGAGAAUUAUAUACAAAUGAAAAGAGAGGUAAAGAGAAAAAUAUUGCACAGGGUAAAUCUACCCUGUGUCUAAUCAUUUCAUUUAAAAUAUAAAUUAUCAUUUCACUUGUGCUUAACCUAAGGAAUGAUUACAGGAAGAUUUACUAGAAAGAUCCCAGCGCAGGUGAGAAAGGCAAAGUCAAAAGCAUUGCUCAGGAGUUGGGGUCAGGCUGUUGCUGCUUCUGACUCCUGUAGACCUGAUGUGCCCCACACAUUGCUUUCUUUACUAUUGCAAUGUGCUUUAAUUUUUUUAUUGAAAGAUGCAAAUGUGACUCUUACAAGUCUUUAAGCUGCUCCUCGAUGUUACAAAGAGCCUUGCUGUUGACCAUUUGUUUGCUUUAGACAGGGACUUCUGUUUCUCAGCUCUUAGUGUAUCUCCCAAUGCAAUGAGAAUUUUUGUCAUUUCUACAAGAGUGGCUCAAAAAUAACUACCCUUCCUCUCCUUUCUGCCCCCUCUCCUUUUCUUUUGUCUUUUCUCCACAAUGGGGUGUGGGGUGGAACCCAGACCUUUACACGUGCACAGAGGAGACUCACUCACUGAGGCAGACCUAAGCUUCUGUUCUUGCUCAUAUUUUUGACCUCUCGACUCCAUAUCCUGGGAAUCUGCAACUAGCACAGCCUCCAGAAUGGUUCACCUAGGUCCCUCAAGGGCAGGGUGAGAUCAUGUUUUGAGUUAAAUUCUCUUUUCCUUAACACACAGGGGUCUUCCUUUCUUUCAGUUGUAGCUGUGCAUUAUACACCAACUAACUUAAGCAGUGGGUGAGUGUCUCCCCAGGAUUUUUAUACAUUUGUGGAGGUUUCCCUAUGUAGUCUUGUUACUACACAAGCUAAAGGUUGGACCUUUAGCUGAACAGUGGAUUAACCUGGGUAACAUCCAUGGCUUCCUUCUCCUUUGCCGUCUGCUGGUCAUAGCCUUAGGAUAGCCUACUUGCUACCUGAUGUUGGACAUUGGUGACUUUACCAAAUGAUAACCCAGCCAUCAGUUUUCCCAUCAGUUUUUUUUCAAUUGUAAUUUUUAUUUCUUCUUUAUUAGAGUUAGUUGUAUCAUUUAAAGGAUGCUCUCUUGGGUUCUUUUCUUGACUUAAAAGAUCCAAGUUAUCUGUUUAGUUCUUUAGUCAGUCCCCUGUCCCCUGAUGCCACCUUCCCUGCAUCCCUCUGGUGUCCUUUGCAUUAUGAAUUUGUUUGGUUAAAGGCAUCAGGCCCCCUUCCUCAUUUUUACUUUCCACCUUGAUAGGAUGCCUAAUUGCAAUGCCAGCUUCUGGGAUGAACCUACUCUCAUGGGGCAAGGUCUAGGAUGGACAUGGACCCACUGUCACUGGAGAGGUUCUGGACUGGACGUGGAUCUGUUGUCAUCGGGAUGGUCCUGGAAUGGAUGUGGACCCACCAUCAUAAGGCAGGUUCUGGGAUGGACAAGGGCCCACUGUCAUUGGGUAGCUAUGUGAACUUACUGUCAACCAAGCAAGUUUUAGUGUUCAUUUCUUUGUUAUCUCAUGUUCAGGGAACCACUAGCUAAAAAGUACAAUCUAUUGUACAGAAGACACUCUGAAAGUUUUCUUACCCCAAGGAAUGAGGCCAUGACUUGAAGGUCAGUGCCAUUUAGUGCUGACCUUAUUUUAUAAUGAGUAUUGCUGAGUCAGCCUCUCUGUGAGCACUCCAGGAAAUCCCUAGACACAAAGCUUAUAUAAGACGAGUGUCAGUUGCCUCAAUUCCAGUGUGAAGCUAGGGACUCUCCACUCCUAUGAUGAACAGGAUAAAAUCUGUGCAUGGAGGACCUCCAUCACCAGACCCUGUAAGGAACUUUAGACACUGCAUCUUUGCAGUGGCACCAAGGCCAGAUGACCAUGGGCUUCAGGGGGAAUGGGUUGAACGUGGGGUGUGUGAUGCCUUCUCAAGCCCUCUCGCAGUCAAUGCAGUAACCUGCUGUGUUCACUGUGCUUGGGGGACUUCCUGGAGGAAGCCAGCUUCAGAGAAGAGAUGCUGGUACCCAUGUGCGGUGCUUGAAGAUAGGUUAUCCGUGUUGCCUUCGCUUUAUUCGUGACGAAUCAUACACGGUUGACCUAUUUUUCAGUACCAAAUCCCGCCUUGGAGGAAUUUCUGGGGUGGGACUGUGGUGUUAGCGUCUCUCCAGGGUAAGUGAAGGAAUAUUCACCAUGGUGGAUCUAUUAAGAGGAAUGCUGUCCAUACCCAGUGUGUCCCUGGUUCUCUGGUGGACUUAGGGAGGGAGGGACCUACUUUGGAAUGAGGUGGAAUGUACUGUAGUCAUUCACUUUAUCACUUUGACAAAUCACAUAUAGUCCACCUUCUAAGGUGUAAAAUGUGGCCCUCAAGCACCGUAGGGAAAGGUCAAGGUCAGAACUAGGAAUUGUGUUCACGGCAUCUAUCAGGAUGUUUACAUCAGCUCCUCUGGCCAUGCCAUCUGGAUAGUUGUGCUCGCUGGUAUUGUUCUGAUAAGAAGCCUUCCCACUGUUCUCUAGGAUGCACCUAUGUGGGUGUGGCUAGCUCCACUGUGAUAGCUUCUUCUGGACCGUGACAUUAACCAUAGGCAGGAGACAAGAAAUGCCCCUAGACCACGUGGCAUGUGUUCUAUGACUAGAAUAUGUAGCCAUUUGCCCAACUCUCAGGGACUCCAUCUUUAGACCUGCUGCCUGAGAUGUACCAACACAAGCUCUCGAAAUCAAGUGUUCGAAUGGAGGUUGUCCAUGGUGUGUUCAUUUUAUUUAUGAUGAGUAUUACAUGGCCAAUCUCCUUUCGGCACUAAAAUCUUCCUGGGAGAGCUUCUCCGACUGUGCGGGUUAAGGAAAUAAAUUGUUCCCUGUAGUAAGUGCUUUUCCUGGGACUUAUGUCACCUGGUUGUCAAAGUAAGAUUUCCCAGAAAUGACACCGACUAUUUCAGUGACUGUGGUUGUCUGGCCAUGGCUGUAGAGCAUAGUACAACAUGUCAAGCACUGUGUUUAGAUGAGAAAACAUCACAGAGUUAGGCAUGCUACAGGGAAGAACAAAUUUCAGUCCAUUUUCACCAGUCUCACCAGUCCAGGGGUGAUCUCUAGGAAGUAGAACCAGCGGUCAGGCUGGUGAAUGGGGAGAGGUGUUUCAGAGUGACAUUUAGUGAUAUAAGAAUGCUGGUGUCCUUUCUCUGCUCCAGUGUCCCUUGGGAAGGAGAGGACUCAGCAGCAUGCAUUGCCACCUGAUGCUUACUAAUGGUGUGACCUUGAAUGAGUCAGCCUGUCAUCUGUCUGUGCCUCCGUUUGUCUGUCUGAGAGUGUUAAUGGCUGCUUAUAAGGUAUGUAUCCACGCUGAAUGUGUGUUCGGUAUUUUGAUAGUGACUGGUUUCCCCCCAGAAAGUUGGAAACCCAUUGGCAUUUCUAAUGAUGGUCAUUGCAUGAAUGUAGUUCCUGUGGAUCUCUUCCCACCCUCUGGAACACAGUUCCCUUGACCUCAGCAGCCUCCUCUGAUGCUCAUGGGUGCAACGGCACGAAUGAUGCUGAAUGCAUGGCAGUUUGACAUGUCUGCUUUGUUGAACCCUCUUUGCGGCUUCUCAGAAGCCAGAGAGAAUGGAGGACGGUCUGGAAGCCUUGUACCCUGAUGCUGCUGGUUUGUCUGUGGGGUCUUGCCGUCCUCUCAGGAUGCUGCCUUGGAAAGGGAGUUAUCUACCUUUAGGUCCACUUUCAUUGGUGGGCAGGAUGGACCCUCCUACACAAAGAGUCAUGGUUUCUUCUAUGUCAAACCUACCUCAGGACUUCUCUGGGAGAGACACUUUGGGAUUCAGACUUGAUGUUCAUGUGCUUCUGGGUGAGUGACCAGUUUCUAGCCAAAGCCUGGACAUCUGUACAAAUCUCUGUCCACCUGUAGGCAGGAUAGAGCUUUGCAAGCUAGUCCAUGUGCCUUGCAGUUGGACCUGGAGCCUCAUCAGAGGUAACGCCAGCCUCCCUAGAGGGUGGGAGUCAGGGAGCCAGAGCCGAGGGAGGCAGUGCUGCCUGGGGAAGAGGCGCCCUGCACUACUCUCGGCCUGUGCUGACGUUUGAUUCUUGAGCAGAAGUUGCCCUUGGUGAAUUCGCUUUAUUGAUGUUGAAUCACACAAAGGCAGCUUUUGUUUGAGUAUCAAAGCCUGCUUGGGGUGGUACUGGGGACAAGACACAAAGUUCUGGGUCUCUGUUUAUGUCUUGUGCUAGAAUGGAAGGUGUGGAUAUGCGUAAGGGCAGGUAGGAGCAUGGCUUAGAGAAUACAAUGGGAUAGACGUGUAGCCCCAGGAACCCAUGAAGAGAUGCCAGGGAUGCCAGUGUCUACUCCACAGCUCUUCUUGGCCUGAAUCCUCUUUGUCACACCAGCCCCUAAGGCCCCCUAGGACCCCUAGGACCCCUAGUUGCAGACACACUAGCUGUUCUAUCUCUACUCUGAAGACACCUUGACUAAAUGAACUCUGUCCUUUGACAGUGUCAAGGACAAUGGCAACCUUCCCUCCCCACCCCCUUCCCCUCCUUGACUCACUGGGUCCAGAGUACUCACAUACCAUCUGUUUUCUUCCCUCCCGCCCAACCCCCUCAACCCACCUCUGUCUGCUUCUCUUUCUUCCUCUUCACUCACCAAACCUUGUUCUCCAUUUUUGGAUGGGUUAGGAAAUGAAUAGAGGCGAUCAGCAUUUCAUCCCGUUUACAUUAAAUAAUAGUGAUAAAAUAAUCACAAAAUAACACCACAAACUACCAGAAUGGCUCGGAGGAAAAUGUGUUCAAUUGACUACAAAUUGGCAGAAGAAUCCAAUUUUCUUGACAACAUUUUAGCUACGACAUUUGACCUGGGGAAACAGUGCUCAGUAGACAUGGCAGCCGCAAGGGGCAGCUUCUAUAGUGGCGGAUGCUGUGAGCAGUAAUAUUUGUGGUAGAUGAACGCACAUUGAGGAAUCAAAUCUUCGUUCAGAUUUUUAAAUGGGAAAGAAUUGAUCCUAAUGAAAAUGAUUUGAGGAAAUAACAAGGGAAAUAAAAGAAAUGAAAAUGGCCCAACAGCACAGUCAAGGAAGCUAAACAGGGAAUUGGAUUAGUUUAAUGGAAUUUACUUUACAAAAAAAAAAAAGUAAAGAAAAGCAUGUUUUUUAUGAAAAUCAAUUCAGGUGUGGUUUUUGGUCAGAUGGGGAAAUCCAUGGGUUUAGACUAGGGCUACUGGGGCAGUAGGAAGCCUGGUCACCGUGCAGGUUUUCCAUGUGGCUAAACUUUAUUUUCCCAUCCCAACCCUUUCCAGAGAGCUUCCUAUCCAGAUGUGCUGACUGAGUAUUAGCAAGCUGGUGAGGGCCAUCUGGAGCAUGUGACUGGGUUCCAAAGCCAAAGCAUGUACCCAAUGAGACGUCUUCUUCGCUUUCCUCUAUCCUCAUGAGACAGUUUGGGAUCUUAACCUUGAAGCACCUCAGAGGCUACAUCGUUGUCUUGGGGCUGGUCAGUGGCUGGAGCUCUCUCCAGGACAGGUGCUUGGAGAAAGAACCUGGACAAGCUUCCCCGUGCUGCUGACUGGAUCUUGUAUCUACUGUUAGCCACCACCCUCGCCACUGUGUGGCUCUUAGGAGCAUUUCCAGGAGGGGAUGUCAGCUGGGGGAAGAGGC
Mastomys coucha (southern multimammate mouse) is the source of this 14439-nucleotide long non-coding RNA. RefSeq lists it as uncharacterized. The transcript has 3 exons. The record is from RefSeq and is a predicted model, not a curated record. NCBI's taxonomy places the organism in Eukaryota, Metazoa, Chordata, Mammalia, Rodentia, Muridae.